Molecule: long non-coding RNA, 517 nt
Organism: Labrus mixtus (cuckoo wrasse)
Lineage: Eukaryota; Metazoa; Chordata; Actinopteri; Labriformes; Labridae
Exons: 2
Source: RefSeq, a predicted model, not a curated record
GGAUGAGAGAGAAAGAAAAUCUGUGAAAGAUGUUAAAACUUCUCAAUUGCCUGUUUCUACUAAGGCCCUCAUUGGCUAUAGUGUAUGUACAGUGAAUGGAAGGUCCCAAUUGGUCAGAUGAGGCGUCAAUAGAAGGGUCAGAGUGGAUGACUCGGUACAUAGAAUACAGCUGAAAUUUGGGAACAGUGUCGGAAAUUUUAAAGAUAAUUGUUAAAUUCGGUGGCAGUAGCUCAGUCUGUAGGGACUUGGGUUGGGAACCAGAGGGUCACCGUAUUGAAGUUGGUCUGGUAGCUGGAGAGGUGCCAGAUCACCUUCUGAGCACUGCCGAGGUGCCCUUGAGCAAGGCACCAAACCCCCUCCCUCACCACCAGCUCAAUAGCGCCCACUGUGGGUGGCUCCGUCACUCUGACAUCUCUCCAUUAGUGCAUGUCCAUAGGAUCCUGUUUGUGUGCAUGUGUGUAUAUACUUCAGCCUACGUGUGUGUUGCAUGACUACAGAGUGUAAAAACAGAAAUUUC